RNAcentral lists this ribosomal RNA (636 nucleotides) under bacterium enrichment culture clone F11 1.697-28. RNAcentral's name for it is "bacterial SSU rRNA". It matches the Rfam family "Bacterial small subunit ribosomal RNA", at positions 8 to 660 of the family's 1533-position model. The record is from RNAcentral.
AGAGUUUGAUCAUGGCUCAGGACGAACGCUGGCGGCGUGCCUAACACAUGCAAGUCGAGCGGGGAGAGAUUUUCGGAUUUCUCUUUAGCGGCGGACGGGUGAGUAACACGUGGGUAACCUGCCUCAAAGAGGGGGAUAGCCUUCCGAAAGGAAGAUUAAUACCGCAUAAUAUCAGGAAGCUGCAUGGCAUUCUGAUCAAAGGAGCAAUCCGCUUUGAGAUGGACCCGCGGCGCAUUAGCUAGUUGGUGAGGUAACGCCCCACCAAGGCGACGAUGCGUAGCCGACCUGAGAGGGUGAUCGGCCACAUUGGAACUGAGACACGGUCCAGACUCCUACGGGAGGCAGCAGUGGGGAAUAUUGCACAAUGGGGGAAACCCUGAUGCAGCAACGCCGCGUGAGUGAUGAAGGCCUUCGGGUCGUAAAGCUCUUUGAUCAGGGACGAUAAUGACGGUACCUGAAAAACAAGCCACGGCUAACUACGUGCCAGCAGCCGCGGUAAUACGUAGGUGGCGAGCGUUGUCCGGAUUUACUGGGCGUAAAGAAUGCGUAGGUGGAUAUUUAAGUGGGAUGUGAAAUCCCCGGGCUCAACCCGGGAACUGCAUACCAAACUGGAUAUCUGGAGUGCAGGAGAGGAAA